GUUUCUGGUUGAUUUGAUUUCAGGAACAGGAGUUGGUCCCUGCAGGAUCUCAGGCUGCAGGAGGAUCCAGUCACAACUUGGAGGAUCCUGCAGGUGGAGUCGCCUACGCCUCCAUCAGCUACACCAAGACGACCAGCAGCAACACCAGAGUCAUUGAUGGUGAAGAUGAUGAUGGCCCAGUGACCUACAGCACAGUGAAACCUUCAUCCUCAGAUGAUCCCAGUAAACUCUACGCUGCCGUCAACAAACCAAAACAUUGAGACAUUUUGUGACUUUACUGUUGAUGAAGGUUAUGGUUGAUUCAAACAAGUAAGAAUUCAGAUUAUACAUAAUCCCAAAUUGAAUUCAAAUGAUUCUGGUCAUAUUUUUUAACCCAAAUUAAAAUUUUUACUUUGAUAAUUGUUGUUUCUUCUUUGAGUCCAGCAGAGGGCGCUGUAGGACAAAGAUCACAGAAUAUAUUUUGACCUUUUAUUAAAGAAUUAAAAAAUGAGAAAUGUUUAGGAAUUGAAAGUCUGUUGG
Molecule: long non-coding RNA, 519 nt
Organism: Poecilia latipinna (sailfin molly)
Lineage: Eukaryota; Metazoa; Chordata; Actinopteri; Cyprinodontiformes; Poeciliidae
Exons: 3
Source: RefSeq, a predicted model, not a curated record